GUUGCUGUGGCGGCGUGCUAUACAUGCAGUCGAGCGAAUGGAUUAAGAGCUUGCUCUUAUGAAGUUAGCGGCGGACGGGUGAGUAACACGUGGGUAACCUGCCCAUAAGACUGGGAUAACUCCGGGAAACCGGGGCUAAUACCGGAUAACAUUUUGAACCGCAUGGUUCGAAAUUGAAAGGCGGCUUCGGCUGUCACUUAUGGAUGGACCCGCGUCGCAUUAGCUAGUUGGUGAGGUAACGGCUCACCAAGGCAACGAUGCGUAGCCGACCUGAGAGGGUGAUCGGCCACACUGGGACUGAGACACGGCCCAGACUCCUACGGGAGGCAGCAGUAGGGAAUCUUCCGCAAUGGACGAAAGUCUGACGGAGCAACGCCGCGUGAGUGAUGAAGGCUUUCGGGUCGUAAAACUCUGUUGUUAGGGAAGAACAAGUGCUAGUUGAAUAAGCUGGCACCUUGACGGUACCUAACCAGAAAGCCACGGCUAACUACGUGCCAGCAGCCGCGGUAAUACGUAGGUGGCAAGCGUUAUCCGGAAUUAUUGGGCGUAAAGCGCGCGCAGGUGGUUUCUUAAGUCUGAUGUGAAAGCCCACGGCUCAACCGUGGAGGGGCAUUGGAAACUGGGAGACUUGAGUGCAGAAGAGGAUAGUGGAAUUCCAUGUGUAGCGCUGAAAUGCUUAGAGAUAUGGAGGAACACCAGCGACGAAGGCGACUUUCU
This 717-nucleotide ribosomal RNA is filed under the name Bacillus sp. (in: firmicutes). RNAcentral's name for it is "bacterial SSU rRNA". It matches the Rfam family "Bacterial small subunit ribosomal RNA", at positions 32 to 730 of the family's 1533-position model. The record is from RNAcentral. Lineage: Bacteria; Bacillati; Bacillota; Bacilli; Caryophanales; Bacillaceae.